AGCGCCGGCGGUGGAAAGGAGGCAGCAAGGGAGGGCACGGCCUGCCGGAGAGCAGGGUCGGCGGUGGGCUGGCCGCAAGCAGAGGAAGCAGGGAUGCGUGGUUGCGGCUUCUUCUUCUUCUCUCUCUCUACUUUCUCUCUUCCUUUCUUUUUUUUUUUUUUUUUUUUUAGUUACGUUGCAGCGGGAACGUGCCAAGGAUCGCCGCUCUGAUACCAAUUGAUAAGACCCUAAAGUCUUA
RNAcentral lists this long non-coding RNA (238 nucleotides) under Musa acuminata (dwarf banana). RNAcentral's name for it is "long non-coding RNA (MACU_LNC005355)". Lineage: Eukaryota; Viridiplantae; Streptophyta; Magnoliopsida; Zingiberales; Musaceae. The record is from RNAcentral.